AACGAACGCUGGCGGCAUGCCUAACACAUGCAAGUCGAACGAGACCUUCGGGUCUAGUGGCGCACGGGUGCGUAACGCGUGGGAACCUGCCCUUAGGUUCGGAAUAACUCCCCGAAAGGGGUGCUAAUACCGGAUAAUGUCUUCGGACCAAAGAUUUAUCGCCUUUGGAUGGGCCCGCGUUGGAUUAGCUAGUUGGUAGGGUAAAAGCCUACCAAGGCGACGAUCCAUAGCUGGUCUGAGAGGAUGAUCAGCCACACUGGGACUGAGACACGGCCCAGACUCCGUAGGGAUGGAGCAGAGGGGAAAAUUGGAGCAAGGGCGAAAGACUGAUCCAGCAAUGGCGCGGAGGUGAUGAAGGCCUUAGGGUUGUUAAGGUCUUUUACCCGGGAUGAUAAUGACAGUACCGGGAGAAUAAGCUCCGGCUAACUCCGUG
RNAcentral lists this ribosomal RNA (433 nucleotides) under uncultured bacterium. RNAcentral describes it as "partial 16S ribosomal RNA". It matches the Rfam family "Bacterial small subunit ribosomal RNA", at positions 29 to 507 of the family's 1533-position model. The record is from RNAcentral.